Molecule: long non-coding RNA, 867 nt
Organism: Hirundo rustica (Barn swallow)
Lineage: Eukaryota; Metazoa; Chordata; Aves; Passeriformes; Hirundinidae
Exons: 3
Source: RefSeq, a predicted model, not a curated record
AGUUCCUGUUGGUUUGGAUACACAAGCCAAAUUAAAAAAGACAUCAGUGAUUUUGAACCCCAGCCUGGAGGAGAAGAGCAAAGAACAUGUUCUAAAUGGUGAGAUUGAGUGAACUCAGCCCAGGCAGCUGAAUCCAAACUCACCUCACCUGAGGCAUAUGACAAGUAGCACCAAAAGAUUGUUGAAGCCCAGAUCAUUACUCCUUGCUCUAUAAAGAAAUGCAAAACUUCUGCAGAGAUAAUGGGUGCUUGUCAGAACCCUGACUUAAAAAGACUGAAUGAGAUCAUGGGAGCCUCUGUGUGCCUUUGAUCAGGCUGCAGUUGGCCUCUGGAAAUGGGAGUGCAGCGAAUGAAAAAUCAGAGCACCUCUGGAAUCCUUCCCCAUCUCAAGGACAAAUUCUGUUUCUUCUAAGCCUCCUUUACUCUUACUUCUCAUCUUUGAUAACAACUAAUUUUGGCAGAACCCAUAUAUUGUUGAAAAUGUGUUCCUGGCGUGAAAUUAACAGUAGAGUUUAACUUAACAAAUAUCUCCCAGUCUGAAUCACUAAAUAUAGGAGAGUAUUUCCAGUGUUGGUGGCAGACCCAGUCUGCUGCACCAAGUUAAUGGAUACUGCAUGGAUUGAGGCCUAAAGAUGUGAAAACUUUAUGCCUAAUGUUUCAUUAAGUUGAUUUAUUGUAUUUUUUAAGCAUAGGUAAUGAUUUAAUGCCUAUUUUUUCAAGACUUCAUUUCCUCCCAGGGAAGUACUGAGAAUUUAGUUAUUUCUCUGAAGUGUCUUUAAACAAUAUGAAGCAGUGAUUUGGAAUAAACUAACAUUAAUGACUCUAAAGUUAUUUUUUUUAUUUCACCUGAUUACUGGAAUUUAUCAUU